UUUCCUCGCACAAGUGACUAAGGCCUCGUUUGGUACACGAGGGUUGGAGGGGAUUUCUGAGGAAAAUCCACGAGGGGUGCAGAAACCUCUAAAAUCCCCGACGACUUGCUUCGUAAGCGAGGUUUGACGGCCCAAACCCACUCGAAACCCCGUCAAUCCCUCUCUAUCCACGCGGCUACCGAGCCCCGAGGGCACCCGCGCGGAACGGAUCGAAGGAGACACAGAGACAGGCAAGAGGAGAGGAGGAGCCCGCCGCCUCCUCGACGCGUGCCGCCGGAUCUUCAAUGCCCAGCCACUGUCGGAGCUUCAGCGCCGGCCUCUUACUCCGGCACCCUAUCUAUCCCAGGUGAUUCCUCCCCUCUCCUCCACUCCUCCAUCCCCUCCCCUACAAACCCUAGGGUCACGGACGUCUGCCUUCUUCCUUCAUGGCGUGUUGUUCUUGUCCAGCCCCAUCUUAGUAUUAAGUGAUUUGAUAUUGAUUGACACGCCGUUGGCCGAAUUUUAUUAGAAGCCAGUACUAGAUUCUGCAGUUCGUCGGCCUGGAGCAGACAACUUCAGAUAUCACUGUAUUUUCCUGAGCAGAACCAAUGUACUUGAUGCUUUAAUCAUGAUAGAACCCACCAUGAUAGAACUUAUGUACCUAAGCAGAUUUAUUAGAAUCCACCAUACAAUUUAUUUCUACAGAUUUAUUAGAACCCACCAUGGUUGAACUGACGUACCUGAGCAGAUAGUGAGAGAUCUUGUCAUCUCUUCUCCUGGUAUGAAGAACUUAAUUGUGGAGUUGAUUGAAGGUACACAAUUUCACAUUUGUACCUGUGGAGGUGCGCUUAGUAACGAUAGUUCUUGGCUUCAUUUACCAGAACAUUGUCAGGUCCUUGCAUGAUCCUUAUUUGACCACAUUGCUGGUUAGUCCUUUUAACAGAACAUGGAAACCAAAAUAUGUGCUCUGUAUCCAUGCUUAUCAUGUGUGUGCUCUCGAAAUCAAGCUUCAUGCUACAACGACCAAUAAAACUUAAACCAACAGUCAUCUGAAGUUUUGAAGAUGCCUCACCAUGUAGUAUAGGUAGCUAACUGAAGAUAAAUUAAUGAUUUAUGUGGCAUUGGCGUUAUAGAGUCCAAAGGUUUUUCAUUUCAGUUAAAAAUUAAGAGGACGAUCAACCAAGUUCACAUGCUUCACUAACCUGAAUAAACAGAUAAUUUUGCAAGUACUCCUUAGUAUAAAUAGUAGAGGCAGGGUUUUCUCAAAAGUAUAUAAAAAUAAAAGGAAGCACUAACACGCUUCUUAGGUUUGACUUAAGAAAAACUAACACACUUUUUAUUUUAAGGCCGGGAGAGUAGUAUAGAAAGGAACCACUGGAACUCUAGAUGUGAGCAUGGAGGGAGAGUGGACAAGAAUGCAUCGCUUCCCAAGUGCCUGCAAGUUUUGUGAAUUAUUGUGAGUCCAAAUUACCCCAUCAGAUCCAUUACUACUACUAUUACUACUAUAGUGUGCUUUGCAGUUUUGAGCAAUUUACUGAAUAUACUAGCGCAUUUGCAGAAUACGGCUACAAGUCUGCAACACUGGCACAAUGACAAAGUCCAAAUGCCAAUUGUGUUGGUUCCAGCAUUGUCAAUCGAUCUGCACAUAGCACCGAACAGUGUGGAAGACACGCAUUACAUUUCAAAAUAGUAUGUCCCUGUACUGUGAUCUGAAGUAAAACCCUGAAAUAAUUGUUUUCAAGUUUGUAUCCAUGUAUUUUAUAUCCUUUUCGUCUGGAUUUCACUGUUGAUCCAUACUGACUACAAAUGUCUUCUUCUACCUAGCAUUGUUUGACUGUCAAAUUCCAUAAGAAUAUUAAGUUUAAAUUCCAUAUCUGUUUGACAUGAUUAAUUAAUCUGGUUGUUUCAUGUCUAAGCAUAUUUGCUUGCAGGAUUUCUGCACUUAUUUUUUCCACCUACGUACUAGUAUAUCUUGUUGUUCAUAGAUAGAUUAAUGUAUGGAGAGAUUAAUUGUCUGAACUAUUAUAGAUGUCCUUAUCAUGUUGCCUAGUGGAGCCACACGUGUUCAGGUCCUCGCUAUCCUCGCCAAUGUUUCGUAUAUGAAGGGGAUAAUCCUGGUAAUUUUUGGGUGUGGGAAUGCUCUUGCUAUGAAUGAUGACUUCUAGUCUUUGCAUUUGUGUGUAUUUGUAUGUUGUAAUUCGCUGAGCGAACUGUUGUGAGUACAGAGUAAUAGAACAUAGGUUGGCUUAUUUGGCUUUCUUGAACGUCAUCUGUCUAACCUGUUGGCCUAUUUAAAAAGCUCAUCUCCUUUUGUUUUAGCAGGUUCUUUGGCAACUAGAGAAGCAAGCUGGACAAACUUUUGGCCAUUCAAAAACUCGAUGAUCAUGACAUCGUAAGAGCAAUUAAUCUGUAUGACAACAUCAUUCUCAUCCUUGCUUGGUCUGUAAAAAUAUAAUUGAUUGUGAGCUAUUGCACAAGCACCCUGUAUAGCAUUAUGUUUGGUGUUGUGAAAGAUCAUAUUGCUAUGAAGAUAUUAUUGGUUUCAAGUCAUGCUACUAUGAGAGAUUAUGUUGUUGUGAUGUGACUGAUAUUGAUGUGAUUAGAUAUUGAUUCCAAGUCAACCAAAAUUAUGUUCUUGAUGUGAAGAACUGCUGUCACAUUUUUAUUAGGUGUCAUUCACAAUUUUAUAGCAAGUUUGUCUAGCUAUGAUGCUAUUUAACCUGUAAAGAUUGUAUUUUUAAUAGGUUUACACCAUUUUAACUCAAUAGGGAAAUCCCUGCCUACCAAACAGUGUUUUAUAUGGAGGGGUUGUGGCUGGAGAGGGAUUUGAGGUUUGAAGGGGAUCUGAGGGGAUUGGGUGGAAGAGGAGGAUUCACCAAAUCCCCUGAAAUCCCCUUCUCCCCAAACCUCUCAAAUCCACUCCUAUCAAACAAAGCCUAAGUGAGACUGUUCUUGGCCGAUCCGCUUUCUCCUCUUCUCUUAUUUUUUUAUUCUCAGUUAAAAUUUGCUGAUGUUGGAUAGCUCCCAUCAGGUUGCUCUUUUGAUUCACUGCAUUCAAGAUGCUCGUCCUAACCUGAAGCAACACCUGCACCUGAUGCUUUGACAGGGUGACCAUCAACGGUGAUUGAGGGUUAGCAGGGCCGAAGGAUUUACUGCACCAGGGAGUAGGCGAGAUCAUCGAUUUGGACGCUUCCGUCGAAGUUGUCGUCCGUGCAGUUGAUUUGGUCGUGGACGUGGAUUUUGUUAGAUGUGUAUAGUUCAUUGUGUACAUUCCCAUUGUAUAAGGGGCUUGUCUGCACUUUAUCACACCUGUAUAUGUACUUGCCUUUGGCCCUCAGUAAAGAGUUAGUUGCU
This 3333-nucleotide long non-coding RNA is filed under the name Triticum aestivum (bread wheat). RNAcentral's name for it is "long non-coding RNA (TAES_LNC004397)". The record is from RNAcentral. Lineage: Eukaryota; Viridiplantae; Streptophyta; Magnoliopsida; Poales; Poaceae.